AGCUUUUUCUUCUUUUCUUGUUUGUUCAUUACCAUGUUUUGUCAUGUCGUGGUUACAAUAUGAUUAUUCUUUCGAGUGAAUCCAAGACUUACCAGCACCAAAAAGUGAUCUAAAUAUCAGUUUUAGAUUAUGGGUGUAUUUUAAGAUGUGAAUUUUUUUGAUAAGGUGAUGAAAAUAUCAUUUCUCUUCCUUCUCUCUUUUGAAGGAAUCGACAUGUUGCUAAAAGAAGCAACAUCAAUUAACUGCUAAUGGUGUGCUAUGUGUCGAGAUGGCCAACCUGCUUCUCAUUCACCUGAUUUGCGAUGUUCAUCUUGAGAUUCUAAGUGAUUGCUCUGACAGAGGAAUUGCUUGCAACUGCGAAGCAAAAUGAGAUUUCUAGAUCAGAUAUUGGGGCUAGUAUUAGUGCACCCGCUGCUCAAUUGAAGG
Molecule: long non-coding RNA, 426 nt
Organism: Hibiscus syriacus
Lineage: Eukaryota; Viridiplantae; Streptophyta; Magnoliopsida; Malvales; Malvaceae
Exons: 3
Source: RefSeq, a predicted model, not a curated record